This 86-nucleotide non-coding RNA is filed under the name Schistosoma japonicum. Lineage: Eukaryota; Metazoa; Platyhelminthes; Trematoda; Strigeidida; Schistosomatidae. The record is from RNAcentral.
UUGGUCUUAGAGACCUGAGAGCGUGACCGCUGAGCCCAAGGGGACAACUGCUUGAGGUGUGUGACGCACGGGCUUUUUAUGAAAAG